AUGGAGGCGCACAGGCGGUGGGACACGUCGGGGAGCGGGUCGCGGUACAGCUUCAGGACGUCGGUGAGCAGCCUCGCGGACAUCGGCGGCGAGAUUGUGGAGGUGGACCAGGCCGGCGGCGAGCUGGAGGCCGCGGACAGGGUGUUCGUGGCCGUCCCCGGGGAGGUGAAGCACGGGAAGAGCGCCCUGCAGUGGGCGCUGCAGAACCUGGCCAAGGACGGCGCGCAGGUCGUGGUGGCUCACGUCCACCGCCCCGCGCAGAUGAUCCCCAUGAUGGGAGCAAAAAUGCACCAUACCAGGCUGGAUCCAGAACAGGUCAAGGACUACAGAAAGCAGGAGCUAGAAAAGGCAUUGGAAAGGCUAGAAGAAUAUGUUGUGCUAUGCACAAUGCUAAAGGACAGCUGUGAGAAGAUAAUAAUUGAGAAAGAUGAUGUUGCUAAAGGACUUGAGGAGCUUAUUGUUCUUCAUGGCAUCACCAAACUUGUCAUGGGAGCAGCUGCAGACAAACAUUACUCAAAGAAAAUGAAAAGACCAAAGUCCAAGACAGCAAUCAUACUAAUGGAGGCAGAAGCAUCACCAUGUAAGAUAUGGUUUACUACUUGUAAAGGGCAACUGAUAUGUACCAGGGAAGCAAACACAACCGUUCCUAUGAUACCACCAUCACCUGCAUCGACAGUUGCAUCAACAUUAUCAGCAAGCAGCCUUUCCAGCCACAUGAGAUCAAUUACAAUCCACCAGUCAGAGAGCGAAGCACCAAGCUCAAACGGAAGUCCACAGCAGAAUCUGAACAGAUCGAGAACAGAAGUGAUGCGGCAUCACUCUCGAGGAGCUGGCGGUACAGCACCUCAGCUAUUUGAACCUUUUGAGCUCAAUGUGAAUACCAGGCCAACAAGAACACCAUUGAGUUCUAUGGAUUCCUGGGGUGAAUUUGGGAGGAGAUCACAAAGCUCCUGGUACAAUCUAUCAAGGAACGAUGAUGCAAUCAGUGUCUCCGAAUCAGCAACACAUCAUCCAAUGCAUGAGUCUGACGAUGACCACUUUUCAUCUCCUUUUCAUGAGCUCGAGAAUCCAGGUGCUGAUGCGGAAAUGUACGGUAGACUUGAGGAGGCUCUCCGCGAAACUCAAGAAUCAAAGAAAGAGGUGUUCGAAGAAUCAACCAAGCGCCGAAAAGCCGAACUUGAUCUGCUUUCAGCUCUUCAAAAGGCCAAGGAGUUGGAGAAGUUGUAUCAUCACGAGAUAAGACAGAGAAAAACAAUCGAGGAGACACUCGUGAGACAGGCGCAGGAGCUCGAAGCAACGGAAAUUCAGUGUGACACGAUAUACGACCAACUACAUGAUGCAGAAGAACAGAAGGCCGUGUUGGAGCAGCGCAUGACCGAGAUGGAGUCUGCUCUUAGAGAUGGCGAGGAGAAGCUGGCCUCAAGCAAGUGCCUUCUCGAAGCGCUCCAAGCAGACAAAGAGAAGCUGCAACAAGAGAGCGAUGCCGCGGCAGCCGCAGCUGAAGAGUUGCGCCAGAAGAGCGAGCAGAGAAUUUCUAUGGCGACUGAAGCAUUGAACACCAAGUUCUCCGCCGUUGAGCUCGAGCAGGCAACUCGGAGCUUUGACGAAGCACUCAAGAUCGGUGAGGGCGGGUUCGGGUGUGUCUACAAAGGCUCACUUCGCAGCACAACCGUGGCUAUAAAGCUGUUGCACCCGAAAAGCUUGCAGGGCCAGUCAGAAUUCAACCAAGAGGUUGCUGUCCUCGGCAGAGUAAGGCACCCGAACCUCGUCGCGCUGAUAGGGUCAUGCCGGGAGGCGUUCGGCCUGGUGUACGAGUACCUCCCGAACGGCAGCCUCGAGGACCGGCUCGCGUGCGCCAACGACACGCCGCCGUUGACAUGGCAGGUGCGCACCAGGAUCAUCUAUGAGAUGUGCUCGGCCCUGACGUUCCUGCACUCGAACAAGCCGCACCCGGUGGUCCACGGCGACCUGAAGCCGGCCAACAUCCUCCUGGACGCCAACCUGGUGAGCAAGCUGGGGGACUUCGGCAUCUGCCGCCUGCUGACGCAGUCCGGCACCUCCACCGCCGCCACCACGCUGUACCGGACGACCACCCCGAGGGGGACCUUCGCGUACAUGGACCCGGAGUUCCUGUCUAGCGGCGAGCUGACGCCACGCUCCGACGUCUACUCCUUGGGCAUCAUCAUCCUGCAGCUCCUGACGGGCAGGCGACCCCAGAAGAUCGCCGAGGUGGUGGAGGACGCGGUGGAGAAGGGGGAGCUGCACACCGUCCUCGACCCCUCUGCGGGGGCCUGGCCGUUUGUGCAGGCCAACCAGCUCGCGCACCUCGGCCUGCGGUGUGCCGAGAUGAGCAGGAGGCGCCGCCCGGACCUUGCCCGGGAGGUUUGGACCGUGGUCGAGCCCCUGAUGAAGGCCGCCUCGCUGACUGCCCGGCGGCCGAUGUUCGCUGCCUCUCCCACUUUGCCGGACGAGGCUUCCACGCCGUCCUACUUCGUCUGCCCGAUCUUCCAGGAGAUGAUGAAUGACCCGCACAUCGCGGCCGACGGGUUCACGUACGAAGCAGAGGCGAUCAGAGGGUGGCUGGACAGCGGGCACGACACGUCGCCGAUGACGAACCUGAAGCUCGCGCACCGCGAGCUCACCCCCAACAGGGGGCUCCGCUCGGUGAUUCUCGAGUGGCAACAACAGCAUCGGCAGCGGUACCAGUACCAUGAGGACUGGAGAUGA
RNAcentral lists this ribosomal RNA (2727 nucleotides) under Triticum aestivum (bread wheat). RNAcentral's name for it is "partial small subunit ribosomal RNA". The record is from RNAcentral. Lineage: Eukaryota; Viridiplantae; Streptophyta; Magnoliopsida; Poales; Poaceae.